This 449-nucleotide long non-coding RNA is filed under the name Nicotiana benthamiana. RNAcentral's name for it is "long non-coding RNA (NBEN_LNC007907)". Lineage: Eukaryota; Viridiplantae; Streptophyta; Magnoliopsida; Solanales; Solanaceae. The record is from RNAcentral.
AUAUCUUAGACAAUGAAGGGUUCCACUUCCUCUCAAGAUCCUUCAAAUGAUUCAUGUCCUCAAAAGAUGAACUCCAUAGUUCAUCCAGUUGGAGAUCAACACAAAGCAGUUGUGAAUUCUGUAAUCCAUUAACUGGCGAAUUUGGAACUUUCACUUCACUGGACAUCAACACAAAGCAGUUGUGAAUUUUGUAAUCCAUUAACUGGCGAAUUUGGAACUUUCACUUCACUGGAGAGUCUUGAAUGCACAGGUGUUAUUAAGGCCAUGCUAAUUACAAGUGAGAAGUGACCGACACCAACAACAACCACCCAGUAUAAUCCCACUUAGUGGGGUCUGAGUAGGGUAGUGUGCAGAACUUACCCCUACACUUGGGUAGAGAGGUUGUUUCCAAAUAGACCCCCGGCAUCCUUCCCUCCAAGAACUUCCCACCUUGCUCUUGGGGAGACUCG